UGGGGAAUUUUGGACAAUGGGCGAAAGCCUGAUCCAGCAAUGCCGCGUGUGUGAAGAAGGCCUUCGGGUUGUAAAGCACUUUUGUCCGGAAAGAAAUCCUUGGCUCUAAUACAGUCGGGGGAUGACGGUACCGGAAGAAUAAGCACCGGCUAACUACGUGCCAGCAGCCGCGGUAAUACGUAGGGUGCAAGCGUUAAUCGGAAUUACUGGGCGUAAAGCGUGCGCAGGCGGUUUGCUAAGACCGAUGUGAAAUCCCCGGGCUCAACCUGGGAACUGCAUUGGUGACUGGCAGGCUAGAGUAUGGCAGAGGGGGGUAGAAUUCCACGUGUAGCAGUGAAAUGCGUAGAGAUGUGGAGGAAUACCGAUGGCGAAGGCAGCCCCCUGGGCCAAUACUGACGCUCAUGCACGAAAGCGUGGGGGAGCAAAACAGGAUUAGAUACCCUGGUAGUCCACGCCCUAAACGAUGUCAACUAGUUGUUGGGGGAUUCAUUUCCUUAGUAACGUAGCUAACGCGUGAAGUUGACCGCCUGGGGAGUACGGUCGCAAGAUUAAAACUCAAAGGAAUUGACGGGGUCAUAGCUGUUUCCU
This 588-nucleotide ribosomal RNA is filed under the name uncultured bacterium. Its description in RNAcentral is "partial 16S ribosomal RNA". It matches the Rfam family "Bacterial small subunit ribosomal RNA", at positions 355 to 1375 of the family's 1533-position model. The record is from RNAcentral.